This is a long non-coding RNA of Marmota monax (woodchuck), 490 nucleotides long. RefSeq lists it as uncharacterized. NCBI's taxonomy places the organism in Eukaryota, Metazoa, Chordata, Mammalia, Rodentia, Sciuridae. The record is from RefSeq and is a predicted model, not a curated record. The transcript is spliced from 2 exons.
AUUUAAAGCUCACGAUCUUCUAGGUCUGUCUAGUUCUUCUUUAUGGUAACAUUUAAUUAUUAAUCCUUCCUUACUUUUAGGAUCUAAUUUAAGAGUGCAUUAAUGGAUUGCUCACUAGGGAGUUUGCCAAAACCAUGGCUGGACCGAGUCGUCAGCAUGUGAAGGUUGAGUGCGUGGAUUUGGAGGCAGGUCGACCUGUGACGGAGUCUGGGCUCCCCCCACUCGCCAACUGCCUGACCUUAGGCAGGUUUUGUCUCCUCCUUCAUAAGAGGAGGCCGUCUCAUAAAGUAUGAGCAAGCACAGAGCAAGGCAGAAUUAAAGCUUCAUGAGGACCAGAACUUUAUGCUUUGAGGAGGGAGAAGAAGCUCUAUAAUGAAGACCUAGGAGUGUGGGUGACUUAAGAGAUCCAGAGUGGGACCUUUGAACAGCUCAGAAGACCCAGAAGCCUAAUGGUCAUGAAUUAAAACACCACCUAUUUAGAAACGUGCUA